Raphanus sativus (radish) is the source of this 538-nucleotide long non-coding RNA. RefSeq lists it as uncharacterized. The record is from RefSeq and is a predicted model, not a curated record. Lineage: Eukaryota; Viridiplantae; Streptophyta; Magnoliopsida; Brassicales; Brassicaceae. The transcript is spliced from 4 exons.
AAUUUCUAGUUUUCAGUUCUCUUUGCCGACUCCCGUGACCUAAAUCGAACCUCACUCCUUGGCUCUCUGCAGAUCAAACCCGUUAACUGUCGAGUCUCUUCCGAGUCUCGUCGCUAUGUCUCGACUCUCUGUCUCUUUCACGGUUGAAUCUUGCUAGAUAACAAGGUACUGACAUGGAAUCUGAGAAACAAAAUGGAGUCGAUGGUGGGAAAACAAAAACAAAUAUGAGUGUUGGUAGUGAUUUCUGCUCUGGCUUCGCGGGUUUGAACCAUAUGACAAAGAAACAGAGGCUGUGAUCAAGAUAAGAGCUUACCUACGUUUUAAAUCCAUUGCGUAGACAUGCAAUGUACUCAGAGAAACUUCUGUUCGUGGCAAGAAGAAGAAGGAGGAGCUCUAUGCUAUUUGAUUUAUAAUUUUGGUUUCAGUUUGGACCAUAACUUAUGCGUUGGGUGUUAUUGAAAUUUGAAUAUAUGUUGUAUGUUUUAUGUUUGUUGAGACUUAAAACUUAUAUUUGGUUUAGAAUGUAUGUGUUAUAAUU